CCUCCUUUCCUCAAUUUCCACACUACUUAAACUACUAUUCCGCACACACUCUCACACAAACUAAACAUAAUCAUCAUUCACUAUCAUUUUUCUCAUCCAAUGAUGGAUAUUCAACAAGAACUUUUCAAGUUCAAACCCUACAUCAGUGGGGCCCUCAUUUCUUUCCUAGCCAUUUUCAUUUUCAUCCAUCUUCUCCCCUUCAUCAUUACCAUGGUAACCUUCUACUUUCCACUCUUUUUCUCUACUGCCCUAUUUGCCGUCGUCAUCUUCGUUUUGACAAAGAUCACCCCACCCAACAAUGACCCUAUUCAUGUCCCUAGACUAGCUGAAGAAAUCCUCGAGUAUUUUGUCAUCGCUGGAAACCACCAAUUCUACCACCCCGACUACAACAACCAUCUUGCCAACCACCACCAUCCCGAAAACUACUACCUCCCUGCCAACCACAAUCAACUCGAUCUACCUCCUCCCGACAAGGUUGAUGACAACAAGGAUGACUAGAAGUCAAACCAUAUAUCACCGUGAUUAAUUGUGAAGAGAAGACGGUGAUAGAGUGCUAGCAUAGGCCAUAUAUAAGU
Medicago truncatula (barrel medic) is the source of this 575-nucleotide long non-coding RNA. RefSeq lists it as uncharacterized. The transcript has 2 exons. NCBI's taxonomy places the organism in Eukaryota, Viridiplantae, Streptophyta, Magnoliopsida, Fabales, Fabaceae. The record is from RefSeq and is a predicted model, not a curated record.